UGCCAGACUCCUACGGGAGGCAGCAGUGGGGAAUAUUGCACAAUGGGGGAAACCCUGAUGCAGCGACGCCGCGUGAAGGAAGAAGUAUCUCGGUAUGUAAACUUCUAUCAGCAGGGAAGAAAACAGACGGUACCUGACUAAGAAGCCCCGGCUAACUACGUGCCAGCAGCCGCGGUAAUACGUAGGGGGCAAGCGUUAUCCGGAUUUACUGGGUGUAAAGGGGGCGCAGACGGCGAUGCAAGCCAGGAGUGAAAGCCCGGGGCCCAACCCCGGGACUGCUCUUGGAACUGCGUGGCUGGAGUGCAGGAGGGGCAGGCGGAAUUCCUGGUGUAGCGGUGAAAUGCGUAGAUAUCAGGAGGAACACCGGUGGCGAAGGCGGCCUGCUGGACUGCAACUGACGUUGAGGCCCGAAAGCGUGGGGAGCAAACAGGAUUAGAUACCCGAGUAAU
RNAcentral lists this ribosomal RNA (449 nucleotides) under uncultured bacterium. Its description in RNAcentral is "bacterial SSU rRNA". It matches the Rfam family "Bacterial small subunit ribosomal RNA", at positions 329 to 794 of the family's 1533-position model. The record is from RNAcentral.